GAUGAACGCUGGCGGCGUGCCUAAUACAUGCAAGUCGAGCGAACGGACGAGAAGCUUGCUUUUCUGAUGUUAGCGGCGGACGGGUGAGUAACACGUGGAUAACCUACCUAUAAGACUGGGAUAACUUCGGGAAACCGGAGCUAAUACCGGAUAAUAUUUUGAACCGCAUGGUUCAAAAGUGAAAGACGGUCUUGCUGUCACUUAUAGAUGGAUCCGUGCUGCAUUAGCUAGUUGGUAAGGUAACGGCUUACCAAGGCAACGAUGCAUAGCCGACCUGAGAGGGUGAUCGGCCACACUGGAACUGAGACACGGUCCAGACUCCUACGGGAGGCAGCAGUAGGGAAUCUUCCGCAAUGGGCGAAAGCCUGACGGAGCAACGCCGCGUGAGUGAUGAAGGUCUUCGGAUCGUAAAACUCUGUUAUUAGGGAAGAACAUAUGUGUAAGUAACUGUGCACAUCUUGACGGUACCUAAUCAGAAAGCCACGGCUAACUACGUGCCAGCAGCCGCGGUAAUACGUAGGUGGCAAGCGUUAUCCGGAAUUAUUGGGCGUAAAGCGCGCGUAGGCGGUUUUUUAAGUCUGAUGUGAAAGCCCACGGCUCAACCGUGGAGGGUCAUUGGAAACUGGAAAACUUGAGUGCAGAAGAGGAAAGUGGAAUUCCAUGUGUAGCGGUGAAAUGCGCAGAGAUGUGGAGGAACACCAGUGGCGAAGGCAACUUUCUGGUCUGUAACUGACGCUGAUGUGCGAAAGCGUGGGGAUCAAACAGGAUUAGAUACCCUGGUAGUCCACGCCGUAAACGAUGAGUGCUAAGUGUUAGGGGGUUUCCGCCCCUUAGUGCUGCAGCUAACGCAUUAAGCACUCCGCCUGGGGAGUACGACCGCAAGGUUGAAACUCAAAGGAAUUGACGGGGGCCCGCACAAGCGGUGGAGCAUGUGGUUUAAUUCGAAGCAACGCGAAGAACCUUACCAAAUCUUGACAUCCUUUGACAACUCUAGAGAUAGAGCCUUCCCCUUCGGGGGACAAAGUGACAGGUGGUGCAUGGUUGUCGUCAGCUCGUGCCGUGAGAUGUUGGGUUAAGUCCCGCAACGAGCGCAACCCUUAAGCUUAGUUGCCAUCAUUAAGUUGGGCACUCUAAGUUGACUGCCGGUGACAAACCGGAGGAAGGUGGGGAUGACGUCAAAUCAUCAUGCCCCUUAUGAUUUGGGCUACACACGUGCUACAAUGGACAAUACAAAGGGCAGCGAAACCGCGAGGUCAAGCAAAUCCCAUAAAGUUGUUCUCAGUUCGGAUUGUAGUCUGCAACUCGACUACAUGAAGCUGGAAUCGCUAGUAAUCGUAGAUCAGCAUGCUACGGUGAAUACGUUCCCGGGUCU
Molecule: ribosomal RNA, 1372 nt
Filed under: uncultured bacterium
Lineage: Bacteria
Description: bacterial SSU rRNA
Rfam family: Bacterial small subunit ribosomal RNA
Source: RNAcentral